This 68-nucleotide transfer RNA is filed under the name Asbolus verrucosus. RNAcentral's name for it is "tRNA-Trp". Lineage: Eukaryota; Metazoa; Arthropoda; Insecta; Coleoptera; Tenebrionidae. The record is from RNAcentral.
AAGGAUUUAAGUUAAUACAAAACUAACAACCUUCAAAGUUGUCAAUAGAGGAGAGGCUCUAGGCCUUA